GUAUAACUGUGUGUGAUGUCCCUUCUCUUACAAAAGUCUCUGUUUGCUUUGCAGCAAGGGAAGCCCUAUGUCUUUGACAGAGUGUUACCUCCCAACACAACCCAGGAGCAAGUUUAUAAUGCCUGUGCCAAGCAGAUUGUUAAAGAUGUUCUUGAAGGCUACAAUGGCACAAUCUUCGCUUAUGGGCAGACGUCGUCAGGAAAGACACACACUAUGGAGGGGAAGCUGCAUGACCCUCAGCUAAUGGGAAUCAUUCCGAGAAUUGCACACGACAUCUUUGAUCACAUCUAUUCCAUGGAUGAGAACCUGGAGUUUCAUAUAAAGGUUUCCUACUUUGAGAUCUAUUUGGACAAAAUAAGGGACCUCCUUGAUGUGUCAAAGACAAACCUCGCUGUACAUGAAGAUAAGAACAGAGUUCCAUACGUGAAGGGUUGUACAGAAAGAUUUGUAUCUAGUCCUGAGGAGGUGUUGGAUGUCAUUGAUGAAGGGAAAGCUAACCGCCACGUGGCUGUUACAAAUAUGAAUGAACACAGCUCUAGAAGUCACAGUAUCUUCCUUAUUAAUAUUAAACAAGAAAAUGUGGAAACUGAGAAGAAACUUAGUGGAAAACUGUACCUGGUAGACUUGGCUGGAAGUGAGAAGGUCAGCAAAACUGGAGCGGAGGGUGCUGUUCUUGAUGAAGCUAAAAAUAUCAAUAAGUCUUUGUCUGCUUUAGGCAACGUGAUAUCUGCCUUGGCAGAAGGAACUAAAACUCAUGUUCCAUACCGUGACAGCAAAAUGACCCGGAUACUUCAGGAUUCCCUCGGUGGAAACUGCAGAACCACCAUUGUUAUAUGCUGUUCUCCUUCUAUUUUCAAUGAAGCAGAAACAAAGUCGACCCUGAUGUUUGGACAGCGAGCUAAGACCAUUAAGAACACAGUCUCUGUGAAUCUGGAGCUGACUGCAGAGGAGUGGAAGAAAAAGUACGAGAAGGAAAAAGACAAAAACAAGAGUCUAAAGAAUGUUAUCCAGCAUCUGGAACUGGAACUGAACAGGUGGAGAAAUGGAGAAGCUGUGCCUGAAGACGAACAGAUCAGUGCCAAAGACCAGAAGAACCUGGAGCCGUGUGAUAACACACCAAUCAUUGACAACAUCACACCUGUGGUUGCCAGCAUCUCAACAGAGGAAAAGCAGAAGUAUGAUGAGGAGAUUGCCAGUCUCUACAGGCAGCUGGAUGAUAAGGAUGAUGAAAUCAAUCAGCAGAGCCAGUUGGCUGAAAAGCUAAAACAGCAAAUGUUGGAUCAAGAGGAGCUUUUGGCCUCCACUAGGAGAGAUUAUGAGAAGAUUCAGGAGGAACUCACCCGUCUUCAGAUCGAGAAUGAAGCUGCAAAGGACGAAGUGAAAGAGGUCCUUCAAGCCCUGGAAGAACUAGCUGUCAAUUAUGACCAGAAAUCCCAAGAAGUGGAGGACAAAACAAGAGCCAACGAGCAGCUGGCUGAUGAACUGGCACAGAAGAGUACGGUUCUGUCAGCAACCCAGAGGGAGCUGGGCCAGCUGCAGGAGCUCAGUAACCAUCAGAAGAAGAGAGCCACAGAAAUCUUAAACUUGCUGCUUAAAGACCUGGGAGAGAUCGGAGGGAUCAUUGGCACUAAUGAUGUUAAAACAUUAGCAGAUGUGAACGGGGUGAUUGAAGAGGAGUUCACCAUGGCACGGCUUUACAUCAGCAAGAUGAAGUCUGAGGUGAAAUCUCUGGUGAACCGCAGCAAGCAGCUGGAGAGUGCCCAGAUAGAUUCCAACAGGAAAAUGAAUGCCAGCGAGAGGGAGCUUGCAGCUUGCCAGCUCCUCAUUUCACAGCAUGAAGCAAAGAUCAAGUCCCUGACAGACUACAUGCAAAACAUGGAGCAGAAGAGAAGGCAGCUGGAAGAGUCCCAGGAUUCCCUCAACGAAGAGCUUGCCAAGUUACGUGCUCAAGAAAAAAUGCAUGAAGUCAGUUUCAAAGAUAAGGAGAAGGAGCACCUGACCCGGCUUCAGGAUGCAGAAGAAAUGAAGAAGGCACUGGAGCAGCAGAUGGAGAGUCACAGGGAAGCCCAUCAGAAGCAGCUGUCCAGGCUGAGAGAUGAAAUUGAAGAGAAGCAGAAAACAAUCGAUGAAAUUAGAGAUAUGAAUCAGAAGCUCCAACUGGAACAAGAGAAGCUGAGUGCUGAUUAUGAUAAAUUAAAAAUUGAGGACCAGGAGAGAGAAAUGAAACUGGAAAAGCUCAUACUGCUUAAUGACAAAAGGGAACAAGCAAGAGAAGAUCUUAAGGGACUGGAGGAAACAGUGGCAAGAGAACUUCAGACUCUUCAUAAUCUACGCAAACUGUUUGUUCAAGAUCUCACCACUCGUGUUAAAAAAAGCGUUGAGCUUGACAGUGACGAUGGAGGCGGAAGUGCUGCGCAGAAGCAGAAAAUUUCCUUUCUUGAGAACAACCUGGAACAGCUUACUAAGGUUCACAAACAGUUGGUACGUGAUAAUGCAGAUCUUCGUUGUGAGCUUCCUAAGCUGGAAAAACGACUUAGAGCUACGGCAGAGAGAGUUAAGGCCCUGGAGAGUGCACUGAAGGAGGCCAAGGAGAACGCCAUGCGAGACCGCAAGAGGUACCAGCAGGAGGUGGAUCGUAUUAAGGAGGCUGUAAGAGCCAAAAACAUGGCACGGAGAGCACACUCUGCUCAAAUCGCCAAGCCCAUCCGCCCAGGUCAUUACCCAGCGUCGUCUCCAACAGCUGUCCAUGCCAUCCGAGGGGGAGGGAUGUCCAACUCCAGCUACUAUCACAGCACCAAAUAGAUGAGAAGUCAGUCCCACUUAGCAUGUUACAGACCAUCAUUAAGUCACUACUUUCUUUUAUCCCCCUCUUCAACCUGGUCCACAUUCUAUUCAUCCUGCGCUUCCUACGCCAUCUGCGACGCACUGGCCAUAGGUAUUUUGAGCUUCGUAGGAUCUCCACGUGUACAGAAGUCUUCAGCUCAACUCCUCUUCAGAUACUUGUACAAUGUAUUUAACGUAACCAUCUCAGUACCCACAGGAAGUCUGCCACCCAGAAUGGCACCGACGGUGUGUGACCCCCUGGCACUGCUUAGGCUGGGGCUUCUCUGCUCAGCCUGAUGCUGUUGGAAGACCUCUGUCACAUCAGUAAAUCCCACCUUCCGGCAUCCAAGAAUUAAUUAUUCGGUGACCAAGUGCCAUCAAAGGCAGGCUGAUUUUCAAGUUGUGAUUUGUAUAGCGCAAAUGAAACUUCACAUCUAAGAUGUCUUGCAUGGUUUUGGUGGAAACACUUUUCACAAAUGGAAACCAUACUUCAGAUGGAACUAAAGUGCGUACUGUUCUUUUUCAAGGAAUAAAAUACUGUUUCCUGCUCAGCUGAGCUUCUCUCAAUGAUAUCACAGAACCAUAGAAUGACCUGGGUUGCAAAGGACCACAGUGCUCAUCCAGUUCCAACCCCUGCUGUGUGCAGGGUCGCCAACCAGCAGCCCAGGCUGCCCAGAGCCACAUCCAGCCUGGCCUAGAAUGCCUGCAGGGAUGGGGCAUCCACAACCUCCUUGGGCAACCUGUUCUACUGCGUCACCAUCCUCUUGAGUUUCUCCUUGAAUUCAUGUUUCAUUGACUUGUUUUCUCAAAAGCAAGGAAAGUUAAACCUGGGAAGAUCUCGGCUGACACAUCUGAAGGUUGUGUUUUACUCAACAAGGGUGAGAUCGGAUUAUCCUGAAAAUAUUGAAAAUCAAAAAAGUAAAAACAAACAAACAAAAAAAACCCGCCCAAACACCUUUACAAUGAUGGUUUCUGCCAAGAGAACCUAAGGAGUAGCUUUUAAACUGCAUUUCACAAUGCCUUAUGCAGUAAGGCACACGUUUGCCCGACGUUUCAAUAAAUAAGGCUUGGAGUUGUAAUAAAGAAUUUCAGCUGAAUUGCAAUAAACGGCAUUCGAACCAAUUGCUCACGGAGGCCCAAAAGAACAAAAAAAGGCCUGAUCCAAUUUCCAGUAUCAGAGGAGAAAGACCUUGGGUCAGCAUGAAGGUGUGCCCCAACUGCAGUCAGUGAGUUGGCAGGAUGAUUUGAACCUCCUCUUGCUUUGACUUUCCUCUUUGCUGUGCCUGCGUGAACCGAAGCGCACCGGCCGACAUCUGCUGCACGGGAUGGGACACGGCUGCAGGGCUCUGCUCACCAUCUCGUCCAUUGGAACAGGUUUUGUGGUGGGAGAACCGCAGGGGUUCUGUAGAAUUAUCCAUGUCUAGUUUGUAAAGUGUGUGCCGUGUACUGCAGACGUGUAUUCUCUGGGCUCUAUGUAUCUUUACAGUAGUGUUCAUUUUAGGAAAAAAAAAUAAUAAUAAAGUGUGGACACCUUUUGCUGGUAACAAGGGGAAAUUUUUUUUUUUGCCAUUGCAUCAAGCAAUGCUAAAUUGUAUUAAUCUCUUGAUAGCAGAUCUGAACCCUUCUUCCCCAUCCCGUGGAGAUAAGUAUUUUAUCUUCGUUCCACAGUUCUCUUGGAUUCGGGUGGGUACGCUGGCAGACUGCAUGAUGUAUCAUUUGAAAACCGUUACAGUGGAAAAUAAAACCGAGCUAAACUUUG
This is a non-coding RNA of Meleagris gallopavo (turkey), 4582 nucleotides long. The record is from RefSeq and is a predicted model, not a curated record. Lineage: Eukaryota; Metazoa; Chordata; Aves; Galliformes; Phasianidae.